RNAcentral lists this long non-coding RNA (449 nucleotides) under Fukomys damarensis (Damara mole-rat). RNAcentral describes it as "lncRNA (ENSFDAG00000024084.1)". Lineage: Eukaryota; Metazoa; Chordata; Mammalia; Rodentia; Bathyergidae. The record is from RNAcentral.
GGUUACUAUUGCAUUUUAUUUUCUUAAGCUGACGGUGACCUACUAAAUUAAUUUCAUUACCUUUUAAUGUGUCAGAGCCUGCACUGUAGAAAAACAAAUGAGCAAAAGAGUUGAAAUGGAGUGCUGAGGGGCUUGAAGCCAUUAUUUGAAGAAAGGGCAACCAUGUUCAUAACUGUGUUGGACUUAAGGUUGUUAAUCAUGACAGACAACAGGAUAAGCAGAUGGCAGUGGGAUGGAAGGGGGCCCUGGAUAAGCCAUGGAAACACAGUCAAUGGCCCAGUUGCACCAAAAGAUUGAGCGAGUAUAAGUACCAGCAGCUCCCAGAACAAUAAGAACACCGAAGGCCACAGGUUAGCAUUCAAAAGUAGAACUCAACCUAAAAUCACUCCAGGUAAGAUGUUUUGACAGCCUUCUUUUGCAGUAAUGGUCUAGAUUUAUUUAUAAUGAAG